Molecule: ribosomal RNA, 483 nt
Filed under: uncultured bacterium
Lineage: Bacteria
Description: partial 16S ribosomal RNA
Rfam family: Bacterial small subunit ribosomal RNA
Source: RNAcentral
AUUGAACGCUGGCGGCAGGCCUAACACAUGCAAGUCGAGCGGACGAAGGGAGCUUGCGCCUGGAUUCAGCUGCCGACGGGCGGGUAAUGCCUAGGAAUCUGCCCGGUAGUGGGGGAUAACGUCAGGACACGGGCCCUAAUCCCGCACACGUCCUGAGGGAGAAAGUGGGGGUUCUUCGGACCUCACCCUACUAGCUGAGCCUAGGUCGGAUUGGCUCGUUGGAUGGGUAAGGCCCUACCAUGGCGACGAUCCGUGACUGGUUUGAGUGGAUGAUCAGUGAACCUGAAACUGAGACACGGUCCAGACUCCUACGGGAGGCAGCAGUGGGGAAUAUUGGACAAUGGGCGAAAGCCUGCUCCAGCAAGGCGGCGUGGGUGAAGAAGGUCUUCGGAUUGUAAAGCACUUUAAGUGGGGAGAAAGGGCAGUAAGUUAAUACCUUGCUGUUUGGACGUUACCAACAGAAUAAGCACCGCCUAACUUCGG